RNAcentral lists this transfer RNA (73 nucleotides) under Diaphorina citri (Asian citrus psyllid). It matches the Rfam family "tRNA". Rfam says of the family: Transfer RNA (tRNA) molecules are approximately 80 nucleotides in length. The record is from Rfam by way of RNAcentral. Lineage: Eukaryota; Metazoa; Arthropoda; Insecta; Hemiptera; Psyllidae.
ACCUAGUUAGCUUGAAGGGUAGGGCUUCUGCCUUGUAAGCGCUAAGUUGUGGCUUCAAUUCCCACACGGGGUG